This 116-nucleotide small nuclear RNA is filed under the name Myotis lucifugus (little brown bat). Its description in RNAcentral is "U2 spliceosomal RNA". It matches the Rfam family "U2 spliceosomal RNA". Rfam says of the family: U2 is a small nuclear RNA (snRNA) component of the spliceosome (involved in pre-mRNA splicing). Complementary binding between U2 snRNA (in an area lying towards the 5' end but 3' to hairpin I) and the branchpoint sequence (BPS) of the intron results the bulging out of an unpaired adenosine, on the BPS, which initiates a nucleophilic attack at the intronic 5' splice site, thus starting the first of two transesterification reactions that mediate splicing. The record is from Rfam by way of RNAcentral. Lineage: Eukaryota; Metazoa; Chordata; Mammalia; Chiroptera; Vespertilionidae.
AUCGCUUCUCGGCCUUUUGGCUAAGAUCAAGUGUAGUAUCUGUUCUUAUCAGUUUAAAACAUUUGUCAAAAAAUUUAAAAGAAUAGGAAUAAUACAAAGUAUGUUCUCCAACAAUA